Molecule: ribosomal RNA, 679 nt
Filed under: uncultured bacterium
Lineage: Bacteria
Description: bacterial SSU rRNA
Rfam family: Bacterial small subunit ribosomal RNA
Source: RNAcentral
GGGUGAGUAACGCGUGAGCAACCUGCCCUUCGGAGGGGGAUAGUGUCUGGAAACGGACAGUAAUACCGCAUAAAAUAUAUUUGCCGCAUGACAGAUAUAUCAAAACUGAGGUGCCGAGGGAUGGGCUCGCGUUGGAUUAGAUAGUUGGUGGGGUAACGGCCUACCAAGUCAACGAUCCAUAGCCGGACUGAGAGGUUGAACGGCCACAUUGGGACUGAGACACGGCCCAGACUCCUACGGGAGGCAGCAGUGGGGAAUAUUGCACAAUGGGGGGAACCCUGAUGCAGCAACGCCGCGUGAAGGAAGACGGUUUUCGGAUUGUAAACUUCUGUUCUUAGUGAAGAAGAAUGACGGUAGCUAAGGAGCAAGCCACGGCUAACUACGUGCCAGCAGCCGCGGUAAUACGUAGGUGGCAAGCGUUGUCCGGAAUUACUGGGUGUAAAGGGAGCGCAGGCGGGAAGCCAAGUCAGCUGUGAAAACUACGGGCUUAACUUGUAGACUGCAGUUGAAACUGGUUUUCUUGAGUGAAGUAGAGGUUGGCGGAGUUCCGAGUGUAGCGGUGAAAUGCGUAGAUAUUCGGAGGAACACCGGUGGCGAAGGCGGCCAACUGGGCUUUAACUGACGCUGAGGCUCGAAAGUGUGGGGAGCAAACAGGAUUAGAUACCCUGGUAGUCCACAC